Non-coding RNA from Elaeis guineensis (African oil palm), 1185 nucleotides. Lineage: Eukaryota; Viridiplantae; Streptophyta; Magnoliopsida; Arecales; Arecaceae. The record is from RefSeq and is a predicted model, not a curated record.
GUUUCAACCUUUGUUAUCGCUUCUGACAAGGGACAGGAUUCGAUUCCAGAGCAUAUUGACUCACUUUGAUUUUGAUGCCCAUAUAUAUAGAUCCUCGGUUUUGGGGGCGAUGAUUUGGCCUGUCGAUCAGCCAGGACUGCAGCCUAGAUGGAGAUGGGAAGGAUACAGAGCAGAGGGUAGAAAAUACCUCUUCAGAUUCUUUAAAAAAACAUGCAAGCAAGAUAAAGAAGUGCAGAUACAAGUACGGUACAAGAAGAGAGCAUCUAAUUAAAGAAAAGGGGACGGCAGGAGAGAAACGUAGAGACAACACGAGAGAGAAUCCACGAGAUGCUUCUAUCACCGGACCGGAAAUUGGAAUAAUGUCCACAGAAAAUAAAAAUAAGGCAUGGACGGUUGAUGGCCCAUCUACGUAUCUACAUGCUGGGCUAACAUCAAGGAUGUGUCGCGGUUGCUCCGUAGCCGUCCAUGUUUAUAUGAUGAUCAGAGAGAGAAUCUCCGACCGCACAACUGCAGGAGUGUUUCACAUGACCGGCACUUCCGGAACGGGAAGCGGAGAGAGGUGGUUGGUAACUUGAGCUCGGCGGCCCAUCAAACUAGGCACUGCAACUCGUUUUUAUUCGCCGACGAUGCUUCCCUUCUUCCCCGUUCUCUCUUUCAGUCUUCUCACAUCUGAGAAGGAAUAUAAGAGUAUUGGAGAAGAAUUCCAGACACACACAGAGAGAGAGAGAGAGAGAGAGUAUUCUUUCUGAUACCGCUUCCGCUGAAACUGGGCAAGGUGGGUAUAACCCUGCGGUACGGGGCCGGACGCUCCCUGCUACGUCUUCGUCACCGUCUGCUACGUCUGGUUCUGCGCCCUUUGCACCAUCAUCCUCGCCCCCGCCGAUAUCUGGACCGUCAGAAUGUCCACAAAAGGUUUCCCGGACUUCCCAUUCUAUAUGUCGCUCACAAUUUACUGAGGCUAAGCAGUCUUGCAACUAUUUUGCUGAAAUGCAAGAAUGGCUAUCAUUCCCACUAUUCAAGGUUAUGAAGAUGCUGGAUAUUUCUCAGUGAUAGAAAGGCUAAAAGCCAGUCUUCGAGAGAACUUUUUUUUCCAUCUAGUCAUGGGAACUGUUAGUCUUAUUGGACUUAUUCUGCUCAUUAUUAUGCACAGAACUUGGUUAUGCUUUUUACCCCCGCUUAAAGUCA